This 468-nucleotide ribosomal RNA is filed under the name uncultured bacterium. Its description in RNAcentral is "partial 16S ribosomal RNA". It matches the Rfam family "Bacterial small subunit ribosomal RNA", at positions 28 to 507 of the family's 1533-position model. The record is from RNAcentral.
GACGAACGCUGGCGGCGUGCUUAACACAUGCAAGUCGAACGGAAAGGCCCUGCUCUUGUGGGGUGCUCGAGUGGCGAACGGGUGAGUAACACGUGAGUAACCUGCCCUUGACUUUGGGAUAACUUCAGGAAACUGGGGCUAAUACCGGAUAGGAGCUCCUGCUGCAUGGUGGGGGUUGGAAAGUUUCGGCGGUUGGGGAUGGACUCGCGGCUUAUCAGCUUGUUGGUGGGGUAGUGGCUUACCAAGGCUUUGACGGGUAGCCGGCCUGGGAGGGUGACCGGCCACAUUGGGCCUGAGGUAGGGCCCAGACUCCUACGGGCGGCAGCAGGGGGGAAUAUUGCACAAUGGGCGGGCGCGUGAUGCAGCAACGCCGCGUGCGGGAUAACGGCCUUCGGGUGGAAAACCGCUUUGGCCUGUAACGAAGCGUGAGUGACGGUAAUGGGUAAAGAAGCACCGGCUAACUACGUG